Molecule: non-coding RNA, 30 nt
Filed under: Mus musculus (house mouse)
Lineage: Eukaryota; Metazoa; Chordata; Mammalia; Rodentia; Muridae
Source: RNAcentral
UGAAAGAAUCCUCAGGUAACUGGACAGAGU